Molecule: transfer RNA, 67 nt
Filed under: Blattodea sp. MT-2014
Lineage: Eukaryota; Metazoa; Arthropoda; Insecta; Blattodea
Description: tRNA-Ser
Source: RNAcentral
AGUUAAAAACUUAUUAAGUAUUAUGUUUUGAAAACAUAAGUAAGAAGUUUAAAUCUUCUAUUAACUU